RNAcentral lists this ribosomal RNA (434 nucleotides) under uncultured Blautia sp. RNAcentral's name for it is "partial 16S ribosomal RNA". It matches the Rfam family "Bacterial small subunit ribosomal RNA", at positions 341 to 792 of the family's 1533-position model. Lineage: Bacteria; Bacillati; Bacillota; Clostridia; Lachnospirales; Lachnospiraceae. The record is from RNAcentral.
ACGGGAGGCAGCAGUGGGGAAUAUUGCACAAUGGGGGAAACCCUGAUGCAGCGACGCCGCGUGAAGGAAGAAGUAUCUCGGUAUGUAAACUUCUAUCAGCAGGGAAGAUAAUGACGGUACCUGACUAAGAAGCCCCGGCUAACUACGUGCCAGCAGCCGCGGUAGUACGUAGGGGGCAAGCGUUAUCCGGAUUUACUGGGUGUAAAGGGAGCGUAGACGGAGAAGUAAGUCUGAUGUGAAAGGCAUGGGCUCAACCUGUGGACUGCAUUGGAAACUAUUUUUCUUGAGUGCCGGAGGGGUAAGCGGAAUUCCUAGUGUAGCGGUGAAAUGCGUAGAUAUUAGGAGGAACACCAGUGGCGAAGGCGGCUUACUGGACGGUAACUGACGUUGAGGCUCGAAAGCGUGGGGAGCAAACAGGAUUAGAUACCCUGGUA